UACGAAGGGGGCUAGCGUUGCUCGGAAUCACUGGGCGUAAAGGGUGCGUAGGCGGGUCUUUAAGUCAGGGGUGAAAUCCUGGAGCUCAACUCCAGAACUGCCUUUGAUACUGAGGAUCUUGAGUUCGGGAGAGGUGAGUGGAACUGCGAGUGUAGAGGUGAAAUUCGUAGAUAUUCGCAAGAACACCAGUGGCGAAGGCGGCUCACUGGCCCGAUACUGACGCUGAGGCACGAAAGCGUGGGGAGCAAACAGGAUUAGAAUCCACUACGUAC
This 272-nucleotide ribosomal RNA is filed under the name uncultured bacterium. RNAcentral's name for it is "partial 16S ribosomal RNA". It matches the Rfam family "Bacterial small subunit ribosomal RNA", at positions 524 to 796 of the family's 1533-position model. The record is from RNAcentral.